This 440-nucleotide ribosomal RNA is filed under the name uncultured bacterium. RNAcentral's name for it is "partial 16S ribosomal RNA". It matches the Rfam family "Bacterial small subunit ribosomal RNA", at positions 338 to 795 of the family's 1533-position model. The record is from RNAcentral.
CCUACGGGAGGCAGCAGUGGGGAAUAUUGCACAAUGGGGGAAACCCUGAUGCAGCGACGCCGCGUGAGCGAUGAAGGAUCUCGGGAUGGUAAGCUCUAUUAGUAGGGAAGAAGAUGACGGUACCUGACUCAGAAGCCCCGGCUAACUACGUGCAAGCAGCCGCGGUAAUACGUAGGUGGCAAGCGUUAUCCGGAUUUACUGGGUGUAAGGGGAGCGUAGACGGGGGUGCAAGCCAGAUGUGAAAGCCCGGGGCUCAACCCCGGGACUGCAUUUGAAACUGUGAGGCUGGAGUAACGGAGAGGCAGGCGGAAUUCCUGGUGUAGCGGUGAAAUGCGUAGAUAUUAGGAGGAACACCAGUGGCGAAGGCGGCCUGCUGGACGAUGACUGACGUUGAGGCUCGAAAGCGUGGGGAGCAAACAGGAUUAGAUACCCCAGUAGUC